Long non-coding RNA from Corvus hawaiiensis (hawaiian crow), 3035 nucleotides. RefSeq lists it as uncharacterized. NCBI's taxonomy places the organism in Eukaryota, Metazoa, Chordata, Aves, Passeriformes, Corvidae. The transcript is spliced from 3 exons. The record is from RefSeq and is a predicted model, not a curated record.
UACAAGCUAAGCUGGAGAAAAUGCUAGUUGUUUCAUCUCCCGAGGCACCCGAGUUACCUUUGUGUUAUGGGAGGGCAGAUUUUCAGUUGAAUUGAAGUGCAAUAGUGGAACUAGCAAUAAUAAUAAUUCUUGCUUUUGUAUUGUUUCAGUAAGUGGUGCGAAGGACCUGUUCCUUGGUGCCCUCUCCAGUGCUUUCAGGGUGAGUUAGAUGGAUCUGACAUUCACAGCUUGUUAAUCACCAGAACCCCAGUUCCAUUUGGGAAGCCAGCCACCAAUGCACACUCUGACUGCCAUUUUGUCCUCUGACCUGAAAAAGCCGGUGUAAAAGAAAAUAAGCUGCCUCUGCUUGCCUCCUGCUUUCCUGUGGUCUCAAUGACAGAAACCUGCUCCUUCAGUGGCAUAAGGCUACGGAAAUCUGGCGUCAAUACGGCUUCAUUACUGUGACUUCUCCUUCCUGCAAUUGUUUUUCCAUGGAUUCCUGUGCAAGGCAGGACAGAAAGCCAGCCAGCCUGCUGUUUUUUCCCUUGUACAAUUAUCCUAGCAAGGCACUGGCCCUGCUGACUACCAGAUUGUCCCUCCUCCAGCCUGAAAGAAGAUCCUGCUGGGAGAUUUCAAGCAGGUGGGCAUGCAGGUACAGCCUGGGCACAGCCUGUGUGGGCACAGCCUGGCCACCCCUCUGGCUGCAGCCACUUCUCAGUGGAAAAUCCCAGCUCCUGCCAAACUCCACUGGAGAAAGCCCUGGGUGCUGCCUGCCCCACUCACCUUCUCAUGCCCCCAAGGAGCUCUGAUGACCAUCCCGGCUUUCCAGGCAGCCACGCUGCCAUUUAACUGCAGGCUCCUGCCAGGAGCAAUUCCCAGCUGACAGCUGAUUUUUUUUUUUUUUUUUAGUGAUUUUUUUAACUGCAGUUUUUCUUUUUUAAGUUUUGUGUUCCUGAUCUGCAUAGGCUUGGGACUGGUUAAGUUCAUCAUCCUGCACUGUGGUGACAUAUUUUCUGGUGAGAGAUAGGAACAGAGUCAACUAAAUCCCUGUAAAAGCUGUGGAGAACAGACCUGCUGUCCAAAGGCACCAGCCCAGUGACAGGCAGUGGAUUUUGCUUAUCUGUUGUACGGGGACAUGGAGCUGCAUUGUUUGCUUUUGUUUUGUGCAGUGUUAAGGAAAGGUUCAGAGGUUUAAACAGGCCUUAGCUUUACAACACUAUUUAGUGUCAGGAAAUGAGCCAGCAGGACACUGCUUUACCCCUCAAACUUGGUGAUUUUCACUGUUGCUUUCACCCAGUCCCUGCAAAUUACUGCCAGUGGAAGAUCCCCGCCCGAGGUAAUGUCAACUGUCCUGCACACAAAGAGCUCUGUUUGUCUUUCCUCUCUGCAUUAUGUCAUCCUAAAAUAGUAAAUAUUGAGUUCUCUGGAGGAAGACGCUUGUUGCAACAGCAAGGCCUUAAUUCUCAUGCUCAGAGGUAUGAGCAAUGUUAAAAAUUACCUUCCCCCAGGCCUUGCUGAUGCACCCACCCCACAGGACGUUUUCUAGGUCUAGGUCUGAGCCUGGAGGCAGGAGCCAGUCAUUAUCUAACAGGGCCUGGGAGAUGGCACUGUUUUGACAUACAGUAAUGGAUCUUAAAUUACUUGCAGAACUGCAGAGAACAUGUGUCUUUUAAUUUACCCAGUCUCUGGAAUAAUUUCCACAUUCCUUCUGGGGUGGAAACAUGCCGCAGCUCCUCCUCUUCUGGCCUGACAAGCCUGGACUGUAAUUUGGGACAACAAUAAGCACGGAGGUGGGGGUUUCCUUUCUGGGGGAAUUGCCUGUGCACUAACCAGGCCUGCUAGCUUUUUAGAAUCAAGUACCACUCUCUUAUUUUGGGAUGGUUUAAAUAGGAAGAAACCCCAACAACCCAAGGAGCAGAGUUAGUGGCUGACAGAGGUAACGCCCAGCUGCCAAGUUCAGCAUGAGGCACUGGUGAAGUGCCUGAGCUGUGACUACCCCAGCCCAGCAUUUGCUCUCCUGCCCUCCCUCAGUGAUUUGUGGAGGCCUGUAUUUUUUUAAAUAUGUGAAACUCACGUCCUGUGUUUAGUUAAAGCUCACGGCGUGUUCUAGCCAGACCAUUGCUUAAAAAGGGGAAAAUAUGCAAACUGCUGCUAUCACUGGAUGGACUCCCGGCAAGCUGCGUUUUUAAGCUCAAUUUUCAGCUCAUCCCUGAAUGGGCCAAAUCCGCCCUGCAGAGCGAAGCAGGGCACGAGGAGACAGGGAGCUGCAGCCCUGCCCCUCUCCUGCGUCCCAGGGCAGAUGCAGUGGCAGUUUUUAGGGACAUUUCUACUGCAGUUUUGCAAAAUGGACUCUUUCCUCAAGUUUGCCAAGAGUUUGGAAAAACACAAGGGCCCUUCAAGUUUACUUAAAAAAACCCCCAAAACACACAAUGGAGCAAACCUUUCCCCACAUAUGCUAGUUAGUAAAAUAUGGCUCUUUCCCCUUGUUUGCAGAGAAUAAAAGGUGGCAGUUUUCUCAGGCAUGCUAAGAGUUAGCAAAACAAGGUCUCUUUCCUCAGGUUCACUAAGAGUUAAAAGACACCUUUAUCUCUAAGAUUGCAGGAGUUAAGGAGGGCUCUUUCCCAACGUUUGCUAAAAGUUUCAAAAAAAAAAAAAAAGAAGGGCUUUUCCCUCAAGUUUGCAAGAGUAAAAAAGAAAGACAGCUCUUUUCCUAAGUUUCCUAAAAGUUAGAAAACAUGUUUUCCCCACGUCCACCGAGAGGAAAAGUGGGCGUUACUCCUGAAUUUGCUAGAAGUAAAAGAGGGCACUUUCCUCAAGCUUAAGAGUUAGCAAAAGACUACUCUUUCCCCAAGUUUGCUAAGGUGAAAAGGUUUUUCUUCCACAUUUGCCAAGUUAACAAAGAGAUAUUUCUGGUUUCCAAGUUUGCUAAGAGUUAGUAACCAGCGAGCUCUUUUCCCGAGUUCGCGAGGAGUUAGCAGCAAGGGUGCUGUUCCCUCGGGGUCGGGAGCAGGCUCGGGUGGCCGGGAGAGGGUGGUGCGCAGGGCUCUCACCUGGAA